Molecule: ribosomal RNA, 489 nt
Filed under: uncultured bacterium
Lineage: Bacteria
Description: partial 16S ribosomal RNA
Rfam family: Bacterial small subunit ribosomal RNA
Source: RNAcentral
GACGAACGCUGGCGGCGUGCUUAACACAUGCAAGUCGAACGGUGAAGGGAUCAGCUUGCUGGUUCUGGAUGAGUGGCGAACGGGUGAGUAACACGUGAGUAACCUGCCCCCUUCUUCUGGAUAACCGCAUGAAAGUGUGGCUAAUACGGGAUAUUCUGGGUCUGUCGCAUGAUGGGUCUGGGAAAGAUAUUGUUUCGGUGGGGGAUGGGCUCGCGGCCUAUCAGCUUGUUGGUGGGGUGAUGGCCUACCAAGGCGGUGACGGGUAGCCGGCCUGAGAGGGUGGACGGUCACACUGGGACUGAGACACGGCCCAGACUCCUACGGGAGGCAGCAGUGGGGAAUAUUGCACAAUGGGUGCAAGCCUGAUGCAGCGACGCCGCGUGAGGGAUGGAGGCCUUCGGGUUGUAAACCUCUUUCGCCAGUGAAGCAGGCCUGCUCCUUGUGGGUGGGUUGACGGUAGCUGGAUAAGAAGCGCCGGCUAACUACGUG